GCCGAUGUAGUUCAACGGCAGAACGGAUCCUUGGUAAGGAUCAGAAGGGAGUUCGAUUCUCCCCAUCGGCU
Molecule: transfer RNA, 71 nt
Filed under: bacterium
Lineage: Bacteria
Description: tRNA-Thr
Rfam family: tRNA
About the family: Transfer RNA (tRNA) molecules are approximately 80 nucleotides in length. Their secondary structure includes four short double-helical elements and three loops (D, anti-codon, and T loops).
Source: RNAcentral